This 253-nucleotide ribosomal RNA is filed under the name uncultured bacterium. RNAcentral describes it as "partial 16S ribosomal RNA". It matches the Rfam family "Bacterial small subunit ribosomal RNA", at positions 524 to 776 of the family's 1533-position model. The record is from RNAcentral.
UACGGAGGGUGCGAGCGUUAAUCGGAAUAACUGGGCGUAAAGGGCACGCAGGCGGGCUUUUAAGUGAGGCGUGAAAUCCCCGGGCUUAACCUGGGAAUAGCAUUUCAGACUGGGAGUCUAGAGUACUUUAGGGAGGGGGAGAAUUCCACGUGUAGCGGUGAAAUGCGUAGAGAUGUGGAGGAAUACCGAAGGCGAAGGCAGCCCCUUGGGCCUGAACUGACGCUCAUGUGCGAAAGCGUGGGGAGCAAACAGG